This 497-nucleotide ribosomal RNA is filed under the name uncultured bacterium. Its description in RNAcentral is "partial 16S ribosomal RNA". It matches the Rfam family "Bacterial small subunit ribosomal RNA", at positions 28 to 507 of the family's 1533-position model. The record is from RNAcentral.
GAUGAACGCUGGCGGCGUGCCUAAUACAUGCAAGUCGAGCGAACGGACGAGAAGCUUGCUUCUCUGAUGUUAGCGGCGGACGGGUGAGUAACACGUGGAUAACCUACCUAUAAGACUGGGAUAACUUCGGGAAACCGGAGCUAAUACCGGAUAAUAUUUUGAACCGCAUGGUUCAAAAGUGAAAGACGGUCUUGCUGUCACUUAUAGAUGGAUCCGCGCUGCAUUAGCUAGUUGGUAAGGUAACGGCUUACCAAGGCAACGAUGCAUAGCCGACCUGAGAGGGUGAUAGGCCACACUGGAACUGGAACGCGGUCCAGACUCCUACGGGAGGCAGCAGUAGGGAAUCUUCCGCAAUGGGCGAAAGCCUUACGGAGCAACGCCACGUGAGUGAUGAAGGUCUUCGGAUCGUAAAACUCUGUUAUUAGGGAAGAACAUAUGUGUAAGUAACUGUGCACAUCUUGACGGUACCUAAUCAGAAAGCCACGGCUAACUACGUG